RNAcentral lists this ribosomal RNA (549 nucleotides) under uncultured bacterium. RNAcentral's name for it is "bacterial SSU rRNA". It matches the Rfam family "Bacterial small subunit ribosomal RNA", at positions 355 to 896 of the family's 1533-position model. The record is from RNAcentral.
UAGGGAAUCUUCGGCAAUGGGGGGAACCCUGACCGAGCAACGCCGCGUGAGUGAAGAAGGUUUUCGGAUCGUAAAGCUCUGUUGUUAAGGAAGAAUGAGUGUGAGAAUGGAAAGUUCAUACUGUGACGGUACUUAACCAGAAAGGGACGGCUAACUACGUGCCAGCAGCCGCGGUAAUACGUAGGUCCCGAGCGUUGUCCGGAUUUAUUGGGCGUAAAGCGAGCGCAGGCGGUUAGAAAAGUCUGAAGUGAAAGGCAGUGGCUCAACCACUGUAGGCUUUGGAAACUGUUUAACUUGAGUGCAGAAGGGGAGAGUGGAAUUCCAUGUGUAGCGGUGAAAUGCGUAGAUAUAUGGAGGAACACCGGUGGCGAAAGCGGCUCUCUGGUCUGUAACUGACGCUGAGGCUCGAAAGCGUGGGGAGCGAACAGGAUUAGAUACCCUGGUAGUCCACGCCGUAACGAUGAGUGCUAGGUGUUAGGUCCUUUCCGGGACUUAGUGCCGCAGCUAACGCAUUAAGCACUUCGCCUGGGGAGUACGACCGCAAGGUUG